This 74-nucleotide microRNA precursor is filed under the name Haemonchus placei. RNAcentral's name for it is "mir-5928 microRNA precursor family". It matches the Rfam family "mir-5928 microRNA precursor family". Lineage: Eukaryota; Metazoa; Nematoda; Chromadorea; Rhabditida; Trichostrongylidae. The record is from Rfam by way of RNAcentral.
GGCCCAAAUUUGAAGUAGGGUAGAUUUGUAGGUUCAGCUGACCAUACUAAUCACUCUAGUUCGAGUUUGUGCCC